Molecule: ribosomal RNA, 490 nt
Filed under: Parnassius epaphus (common red apollo)
Lineage: Eukaryota; Metazoa; Arthropoda; Insecta; Lepidoptera; Papilionidae
Description: partial 16S ribosomal RNA
Source: RNAcentral
UUUUGGUUAAUAAUUUAAAGUCUAAUCUGCCCCCUGAUAAUAUAUUAAAGGGCUGCAGUAUUUUGACUGUACAAAGGUAGCAUAAUCAUUAGUCUCUUAAUUGGUGACUUGUAUGAAAGAUUUGAUGAGAUAUAUACUGUCUCUUUUUAAUUUAUAAAAUUUAAUUUUUUAGUUAAAAAGCUAAAAUAUAUUUAAAAGACGAGAAGACCCUAUAGAGUUUUAUAUUUAUAUAAAUUAAAAUUUUUUAUAAGCUUUAAAAUUUUAAUUUAUAUAAAUAUUUUGUUGGGGUGAUAAAAAAAUUAAAAUAACUUUUUUUAUAAUUUUACAUUAAUAAAUGAAUAAAUGAUCCGUAAUUUACGAUUAUAAGAUAAAAUUACCUUAGGGAUAACAGCGUAAUUUUUUUUUUUAGUUCAAAUAAGAAAAAAAGUUUGCGACCUCGAUGUUGGAUUAAGAUAAAAUUUAAAUGCAAAAGUUUAAAAUUUUUGAUCUG